UGAUAUUAGAUUGCUACUGAAACAGUAAUUGCUGGGCCCGUGAAAGUGAUGAGGACUUGCAAACACCCUAGCACUCGAAUAAGUAACAAUUUCAACAGAAGAUUUAAAAAAAAAAAGGUUACUGUUCAACAACAACAACCAUCUUAUACUCGAUGUAUGUCAUCACUUUAAACCCCAAGUAAGAUCAUGAGCAUGAGUAAAUUAGCCAAAAAAUUGUAGUCCAAUUUGAAUGGGAAAUUAGGAAUUGUGUCAGUGGUUUGUGCUGCUGCAGUGUUGUGCUUCCAAACAAAUUUGAGAUACUGGAGUUAAACGGGUAUCUCUCU
This 323-nucleotide long non-coding RNA is filed under the name Phaseolus vulgaris (common bean). RNAcentral's name for it is "long non-coding RNA (PVUL_LNC004147)". Lineage: Eukaryota; Viridiplantae; Streptophyta; Magnoliopsida; Fabales; Fabaceae. The record is from RNAcentral.